RNAcentral lists this ribosomal RNA (400 nucleotides) under uncultured marine picoeukaryote. RNAcentral describes it as "bacterial SSU rRNA". It matches the Rfam family "Eukaryotic small subunit ribosomal RNA", at positions 110 to 514 of the family's 1831-position model. The record is from RNAcentral.
ACGUAUGUUUCAUGACAGUUGUUUACUACUUGGAUAUCCACGGUAAUUCUAGAGCUAAUACAUGCGUCCAGACCCAACUUUGCGGAAGGGUUGUGCUUAUUAAAAAUUUAACCAUCCCCGGCUUGCCCGGUUUCGAGGUGAUUGAUGGUAAUCGAACGAAUCGCAUGCUUUGCGGCGAAGAUUCAUUCAAGUUUCUGACCUAUCAACUUCCGACGGGAGGGUAUUGGCCCACCCUGGCUUUGACGGGUAACGGAAAAUUAAGGUUUGAUUCCCGAGAGGGAGCCCGAAAAACGGCUACCACAUCUAAAGGAGGCAGCAGGGGCGCAAAUUACCCCAUCCUGACACAGGGAGGUAGUGACAAGAAAUACCAAUAUGAGGCCUUUUUGUCUUGUAAUUGGAA